GAUUUCUGACGAACCGGAGUGGCCCGUUCUCUUUCAGAGAAUGAGUGCCGCUUUGAGUUUGUCAUCCUUCCAGAGAGCUGCGUCUACCGUUUACUCGGCCGGACGUAUGCGAUCUGGAUCUAUUACUUUGAAAAAAUUAGAGUGUUUAAAGCAGGCUUAUGCUGUGAAUACAUUAGCAUGGAAUAAUAAUUUAGGACUUUGUUCCUAUUUUGUUGGUUUCUAGGAAUGAAGUAAUGAUUGAUAGGGAUAGUUGGGGGUGCUAGUAUUCAUCGGCCAGAGGUGAAAUUCUUGGAUUCGAUGAAGACUAACUUAUGCGAAAGCAUU
This 324-nucleotide ribosomal RNA is filed under the name Euglypha sp. (in: cercozoans). RNAcentral describes it as "SSU rRNA". The stretch from base 62 to 324 matches the Rfam family "Eukaryotic small subunit ribosomal RNA", at positions 691 to 955 of the family's 1831-position model. Lineage: Eukaryota; Cercozoa; Imbricatea; Euglyphida; Euglyphidae. The record is from RNAcentral.